Molecule: transfer RNA, 68 nt
Filed under: Marmota monax (woodchuck)
Lineage: Eukaryota; Metazoa; Chordata; Mammalia; Rodentia; Sciuridae
Description: tRNA.Ala
Source: RNAcentral
GGACUAUAGCUCAGUGGUAGAGCGCUUGCCUAGCAUGUGUGAGGCACUGGGUUCAAUCCUCAGCACCA